AACGAACGCUGGCGGCAUGCCUAACACAUGCAAGUCGAACGAUGGCUUCGGCCAUAGUGGCGCACGGGUGCGUAACGCGUGGGAAUCUGCCCUUAGGUUCGGAAUAACAGAGAGAAAUUUCUGCUAAUACCGGAUGAUGACGUAAGUCCAAAGAUUUAUCGCCUAAGGAUGAGCCCGCGUAGGAUUAGCUUGUUGGUGAGGUAAAGGCUCACCAAGGCGACGAUCCUUAGCUGGUCUGAGAGGAUGAUCAGCCACACUGGGACUGAGACACGGCCCAGACUCCUACGGGAGGCAGCAGUGGGGAAUAUUGGACAAUGGGCGAAAGCCUGAUCCAGCAAUGCCGCGUGAGUGAUGAAGGCCCUAGGGUUGUAAAGCUCUUUUACCCGGGAAGAUAAUGACUGUACCGGGAGAAUAAGCCCCGGCUAACUCCGUGCCAGCAGCCGCCGUAA
RNAcentral lists this ribosomal RNA (449 nucleotides) under uncultured bacterium. Its description in RNAcentral is "partial 16S ribosomal RNA". It matches the Rfam family "Bacterial small subunit ribosomal RNA", at positions 29 to 523 of the family's 1533-position model. The record is from RNAcentral.